Molecule: ribosomal RNA, 447 nt
Filed under: uncultured bacterium
Lineage: Bacteria
Description: bacterial SSU rRNA
Rfam family: Bacterial small subunit ribosomal RNA
Source: RNAcentral
CCCAGACUCCUACGGGAGGCAGCAGUGGGGAAUAUUGCACAAUGGGGGAAACCCUGAUGCAGCGACGCCGCGUGAGCGAGGAAGUAUUUCGGUAUGUAAAGCUCUGUCAGCAGGGAAGAAGAAUGACGGUACCUGAAGAAGAAGCACCGGCUAAAUACGUGCCAGCAGCCGCGGUAAUACGUAUGGUGCAAGCGUUAUCCGGAUUUACUGGGUGUAAAGGGAGCGCAGGCGGUUCUGCAAGUCUGAUGUGAAAGCCCGGGGCUCAACCGCGGGACUGCAUUGGAAACUGCGGGACUGGAGUGUCGGAGGGGUAAGCGGAAUUCCUGGUGUAGCGGUGAAAUGCGUAGAUAUCAGGAGGAACACCGGUGGCGAAGGCGGCUUACUGGACGAUGACUGACGCUGAGGCUCGAAAGCGUGGGGAGCAAACAGGAUUAGAUACCCCCGUAA